RNAcentral lists this ribosomal RNA (501 nucleotides) under uncultured bacterium. RNAcentral describes it as "bacterial SSU rRNA". It matches the Rfam family "Bacterial small subunit ribosomal RNA", at positions 8 to 507 of the family's 1533-position model. The record is from RNAcentral.
AGAGUUUGAUCCUGGCUCAGGAUGAACGCUAGCGGCAGGCUUAAUACAUGCAAGUCGAGGGGCAGCACGGUUAGCAAUAACUGGUGGCGACCGGCGCACGGGUGCGUAACACGUAUACAAUCUACCUUAACAGGGGGAUAGCCUUUCGAAAGAGAGAUUAAUACCCCGUAAUAAAUUGAACGGCAUCGUUUGAUUUUGAAAGCUCCGGCGGUUUGAGAUGAGUAUGCGUCUGAUUAGCUAGUUGGUGAGGUAACGGCUCACCAAGGCGACGAUCAGUAGGGGAUCUGAGAGGACUAACCCCCACACUGGUACUGAGACACGGACCAGACUCCUACGGGAGGCAGCAGUAAGGAAUAUUGGUCAAUGGAGGCAACUCUGAACCAGCCAUGCCGCGUGCAGGAUGACGGCCCUAUGGGUUGUAAACUGCUUUAUACAAGAGAAAACCCUGGUACGUGUACCAGGUUGAUAGUAUUGUAAGAAUAAGCAUCGGCUAACUUCGUG